This 718-nucleotide long non-coding RNA is filed under the name Felis catus (domestic cat). RNAcentral's name for it is "lncRNA (ENSFCAG00000052961.1)". Lineage: Eukaryota; Metazoa; Chordata; Mammalia; Carnivora; Felidae. The record is from RNAcentral.
AUUGAACAUGAUUUUUACCUCUCUGAAAAGACCAAUGACACAAAACCAUAGUGUCAGCUGUCUCUUUCUCUUUUGUAUAUUUCUUGACAGAAUUAUUACUGAUUUAAAAGAAACCAACUCAAAUUCAAUUCUGAAAACCCCUCCCUCCUUCCUCAAAACCACAGUAUGUAUCACUGCUAAAAGCAGAAAAAUGGAAGAGAGAAGGAUACUGACUGUUACACCCAGCAGGCGAUUCUGUUUCCUUUAGAGCAUCGGAGCUAAAGGCGUAAAUUUCACAGAACCAGAGGAACAAUCAGCUUGAAACUUGUUGAAUACAGUGAUGCUAAUUAAAAACUUCUUCUUGAUGGUGUGUUCUCCCCCAGUCCGCAUCCCAUCCACCUCACUACUUAUAUAACCUCCUGUGCCAGCACUUAGGACUUUAUGAGAUAUGGUAAACAUGUGGUUUCAGAAUUUUUGUUCAUGAAAAAUAUUUUAAGUCAAUUUAAUGUUAGGUUACAAUCAGAUACUAGACAAAAUAAUAGUUACUUUUGUUUAUUCAUCAUCCUUAUUCUUAAAACAUGUAAAGAAGAGGUCAAUUUUAGAAGAUUCUAAUUUAUGGGUGCACUGGAUAGAUAAGUUUUGGUUUUCCGGAGAUAGUGUUGUUUGAUAUGUGCAGAUUUGUAUCACAGUUUCAAUUGCUAUGGAAACAUGAUUACAAUAAAAAUAAAGCAAACUUCCA